CAAUUUUACUUAUGUAAAUAAUAAAAAUGUACGAGGAUUCUGUCCAGGUUAGUAUUCUGGUCAUUACACUCUCGUCAGGACUCUGAUUAAUGCAAUGUUAAUGGUAUUGAAAAAAUAAUUCAAUUACUUUUCUGUUCAUAGGACACCAAAUUCAAAAAAAAAAAACUUAAAAAAUAUACAUAAUUAAAAUUAAUGUACUAAAUCUCAAAAUAUAUCCAUUUAGUAAUCAUCCUUAUUUAGAAGAUGGAUAAUGGGAGGCCAUCUUAUUAUUAUGUUCUCCACGUGUGAUUUACUGAUUUGUUUUCUUAACCAUAUAGAUAAUUGAGAAAACACAAUUUAGAUAUAGA
RNAcentral lists this long non-coding RNA (347 nucleotides) under Linum usitatissimum (flax). RNAcentral's name for it is "long non-coding RNA (LUSI_LNC002492)". The record is from RNAcentral. Lineage: Eukaryota; Viridiplantae; Streptophyta; Magnoliopsida; Malpighiales; Linaceae.